This is a long non-coding RNA of Papaver somniferum (opium poppy), 2352 nucleotides long. RefSeq lists it as uncharacterized. The record is from RefSeq and is a predicted model, not a curated record. NCBI's taxonomy places the organism in Eukaryota, Viridiplantae, Streptophyta, Magnoliopsida, Ranunculales, Papaveraceae. The transcript is spliced from 7 exons.
UCUAAUCUGUGAACAAUUCGCUUCUUCUCUUUUCUCACAUCACAAAACCCUAAUCUUCACUUCUUCUUCUUUUUUUGAUCUAUUGUUUAAUUCACAUUACAAAACCCUAAUCUUCACUUCUUCUUCUUCUUCUUUUGAUCUAUUGUUUAAUUGCAGGAUGUUUACUUUGACGAUCGAUUGGCUGAAGUUCUGAUCUCAUCCGUCAGGCUUGGCGAUGACCAAAAGAGGGUAUCACUUCUGCAGAUAAGUGUGUAUACAGAAUGUGAUUUAGUCUCCCGAGUUCUGGAAUCACCACCGCUUUGCCACCAACCUUCAUAUAUCCUCUCUCGCUCUCUUUCAAUACGACAAUCAAAUACUCAGGAACUUUGAAGUCAGAUCCUUCUCCCCUUUUUCCAUGAAUGCAGAGAGAAAAUUAUUUGCAGGAAGCUUGGGCUAGCUUGGAAGGCGCAGGAAACAGUUUGACAUCUCUCGCAAUCUCAAUUUGUUGAGGAUUUAAACUCCCUUGAAGCCUAACAAUUUAUCUUGCUUACAAAAUCUAAUUUAAUAUAAUAUUUGUAUAGGGACGGCAGUAAUCAUAAUAUAACGAUUUAGAAUCAGAAAGAUGUGCCGCUUAAUGGAUUCAUGCAUCGAAACGUAUUAAAAUUUAUUGGUUUUUUUUAGUUAUCUCUUAAUGAGUUCUCUGAGUUUAUUUUUAUUGAUUGGGGUUUGUUGAUUUUUGUUCCAGGUUUUUCUACAGGAUAUACUAAAUUUGUGCAUGCUCAUCUUAACAUCUGAACUUAAAAGGUAGGCGUUUUGUUAAAAACACGGCAGGCUCAUAAUUUUAACAACUUAAUUUCAAAGGUGUUUUUUUGUUUUAUUGUUUCAAGCUAGGCUCUUGCUGCAUGUGUUGGAUUUUCCGAAGGAGAAUUCAGAAAAUUAGGAUAUAACUGGGUAUAGUGAUAUUACAAUUGUUUCGAUGAUGCCAUCUUUAUUUAUUUUUAUAUUUCGAUUGCGUUCUUUUAUUCAUGGUCUUGCAAGUAGGAGAAGAUACAUGCUUAUUUUUUUUCUUUACUUUUUUUAAGAUACUGGCUGAUCUAAUGCUUAUCCUAAAAGUCGAGCCUUCGGUUUAUAUCAAUAUUAUUCUUUGCAUGUACGUAGUAAUUUAUAUAUUGAUAUUAUUCUUUGAAUGUAUAUAGUAAUUUAUAUUGGUUGUUUUGAUCUAACUAACUGAGAUAUUUUGCAGAAAGCACCAUUGAGACAUGUCCUCUAAGAAAUAUCGGCACGAUAAAGGAGUGUUACUUUUAACGAGGAUGCUUUAAACCCAGUAAACUUGAACUCGAUGACUACAAUAACAUAAGUAAUAUCGAUGAGUUAGGAUGCAGUAACAAUAUUCGGGUACAGUUAGGAAGAAUAGCCUCCUGGAUUAAUAUGCAAACUCUUGGUGUACAAGAGUGACAAAGUUGAAAGUACAGAAGAUCGAAGACCCCCUUUAUAUGUGAUUGUAGUACACAACCACCAUUCUAUAUAUAUAAAUAAUUUCUAUUCACUUCAUUUAUCUUCCUGAUUAUGUUACUGGGAAAGAAUCUUAGCAUCACUUAGUACUUAGCCGUUCAACCCUGUAAGCAAAUGCCCUUCCCAGCCAUAUCCGGAAUGAAUGAGAGAUCGUAGAACCACGGUUUUUUAUCCUACUGGUGUUGCUUCUUCGUUCCGGCUGAGGUGUUGCUUCUUCGUUCUGGCUGAGGUGUUGCUUCUUUGCUCCAGUUGAUGCAAUGGUGUAUAGACUGAGUGGAUAAAACGAGUCAUAUAUGAUAUCCAGCUUGGAAAACUGAGCACGGUGCACCCAUUUUCCAAAUACACUUGCUCGAUAAGAGCGCGGGAAUUGAACCCGAAACCUAUAGGUAUUUUGUAGCAUUUGGGUGAGAAAACGUCGAGACAUAUCCGGUUAUUAGCCAGUCUUUGUUCUGUUUAUAGUUACCAGCUUUUUGUUUUCCUUUUUAUUUGAAGGUAUUUUGUAGCUACCAAGGGAGGAAGUUUACAGUCUAAAGAUUCAAAAGCAUCCUUACAAGGUCCGGAUAAAUUUUGCAGUCGGAAGCCUCCUAAGCAAGUGCCUUUCGGGUUGCCACCAUGUGAGCACUCUCAAUUGCAGCUGAUGGACAGAAACCAGGUGAACAAUACUUAGCAAGAACAUAAUGGAUAUAAACAAGCAGAAUUGUUGGAUUGAAACCAUAAACCUUUACCUCAUUUGUAGUUGGUCGAUGUCAUUCAUGCUUACAUUCCUCAAUUUUGUCAUAGAUAUUUAGUCCUACUUCUACCGAAGCCUGCAGGUUUGUACAUGACACAAAAAUAAUUAGUUAUACCUUCCUUUGGUAUUCA